RNAcentral lists this ribosomal RNA (61 nucleotides) under Halovibrio salipaludis. Its description in RNAcentral is "Halovibrio sp. YL5-2 partial 16S ribosomal RNA". Lineage: Bacteria; Pseudomonadati; Pseudomonadota; Gammaproteobacteria; Oceanospirillales; Halomonadaceae. The record is from RNAcentral.
UUAAACUGAAGAGUUUGAUCAUGGCUCAGAUUGAACGCUGGCGGCAGGCCUAACACAUGCA